This 392-nucleotide long non-coding RNA is filed under the name Mus spicilegus (steppe mouse). RNAcentral's name for it is "lncRNA (ENSMSIG00000019983.1)". Lineage: Eukaryota; Metazoa; Chordata; Mammalia; Rodentia; Muridae. The record is from RNAcentral.
AUAAUCUUCAUCUACAGAAAGGUUCUAGAAUGCUCUUUCCCCCCCCCCAAAAAAAAACCUUGGGUACUGGAUAUUGAUGGUUAUUAUUACUUGGGUACCACACAGGUAACCUCUACAGCAGGUAGUUCAACAGAAGAUAUCUUUACUGUGAGAAAUGAUAUAUUUUUCAAAGUCAUCCACUCAUAUCUUUGUAAACAGUUCCUGGAUCUAACCUUAUUCAUGUGUCUCUCAGUUCUGAUGUAUAGAUGGGACAUGUCUUUCUGCCUGUUAGAAGACUUAUCGAGUGUAAUCCUUCCAGGACAUGUUGUGUCUCAGGUUGGCACAGAACCCUUAUUUUAGACUAUGGAAUCUUUUCCUGUACUAUAAAAGAAUAUAUGUUUGAGAAUGUAUAG